Molecule: ribosomal RNA, 262 nt
Filed under: uncultured bacterium
Lineage: Bacteria
Description: partial 16S ribosomal RNA
Rfam family: Bacterial small subunit ribosomal RNA
Source: RNAcentral
CGAACGGGUGAGUAACACGUGGGCAACCUGCCCAAAAGAGGGGGAUAACACUUGGAAACAGGUGCUAAUACCGCAUAACCAUAGUUACCGCAUGGUAACUAUGUAAAAGGUGGCUAUACUACCGCUUUUGGAUGGGCCCGCGGCGCAUUAGCUAGUUGGUAGGGGUAAAGGCUUACCAAGGCAAUGAUGCGUAGCCAAAUUGAGAGGUUGAUCGGCCACAUUGGGACUGAGACACGGCCCAAACUCCUACGGGAGGCAGCAG